GAGAGAGAGAGAGAGAGAGAGAGAGAGACGAGGGACAGACAGCCAUGUUCAGUCUGCACAGACAGUCAGGCAACACUAGUCAACUGAACCCUGGCCUUUAGUAACCGGUGUAGGUCUGCGCCAAUGGCCUGAGGAGAGAGAGAGAGAGAGAGAGAGAGAGAGAGAGAGAGAGAGAGAGAGAGAGAGAGAGAGAGAGAGAGAGAGAGAGAGAGAGAGAGAGAGAGAGAGAGAGAGAGAGAUAAGAUACAUUAAGAAAAAAAGGACAUUACAUAAUGUGUAAUACUGUAUUUAUAUAACAUAUUUGACAGAAAAUCUUGAAAUAUAGUGUAUUAUGUAUAACACAGAGGUGCGCAUCUUUCCAGGCCAGUAGCUCCAGUGAAUCUAUUCUAUGUAAUGUUCACAAUUACAUAUACAUGAAGUAAAUGGUGUAAGUUUUUGAGUUGUCACAUGGGUUGUCCCUGCGUUUGAAUGAGAAUGUGUCUGCAAAAUAAUGAGGCCUAAUUCUGUCAAAUGCUUAUUGUUUCAAAAUUAGAAAUCACUUCUAGUCAUUGUUAAAAAAAAUAAAUAAAUAAAAAAAAAAAAAAAAAAUAACAACAGUGUAUGGACAGCUGUAUUUGGGCAUUCAUUCCUAAAUUCUUCAGGUCACUAUGUUCAAUAGAUUUUUGUGAAAUUCUAGGAGGUACUACAAAGUACAGAAGAGUGGCACUUGUCAACAAUCAUAAGAAUAUAGUAGAAAUCCUUGAAUGAAACACUAUGAUGUUGAAAGAAAUGUUCCAUACACUGCCAUUACAUAUAAAAUGUCACAACCAAAGAUAAAUAGCAAUGAAGAAAAUACCUAAUUACAAAGAUAAACUACUACAUAAGCACUUUUUAUGCAGCUAUUAUUAUUAUUACAAGAAAUUUUGCAGUAAUAUAUGAAGUCAAUAUACAGAGUGAAAUUGAAAUGUGUGCAUUUUUAUCAAGUUGUUAAUGGACAGGAGUUUUAACUUGAGUAUCUUUAAUUGUAGGAAUGAAGAGGGUGUUUCAAAAAUAUUUAUUCUGCAAGAUAAAAAUCUACAGCCUGUGAUGUAAAAUGUAUGUUUGGAAUAAUA
Molecule: long non-coding RNA, 1091 nt
Organism: Portunus trituberculatus (swimming crab)
Lineage: Eukaryota; Metazoa; Arthropoda; Malacostraca; Decapoda; Portunidae
Exons: 2
Source: RefSeq, a predicted model, not a curated record